RNAcentral lists this ribosomal RNA (450 nucleotides) under uncultured bacterium. RNAcentral's name for it is "partial 16S ribosomal RNA". It matches the Rfam family "Bacterial small subunit ribosomal RNA", at positions 354 to 796 of the family's 1533-position model. The record is from RNAcentral.
GUGGGGAAUAUUGGACAAUGGGCGAAAGCCUGAUCCAGCCAUGCCGCGUGUGUGAAGAAGGUCUUCGGAUUGUAAAGCACUUUAAGUUGGGAGGAAGGGCAGUAAGUUAAUACCUUGCUGUUUUGACGUUACCGACAGAAUAAGCACCGGCUAACUUCGUGCCAGCAGCCGCGGUAAUACGAAGGGUGCAAGCGUUAAUCGGAAUUACUGGGCGUAAAGCGCGCGUAGGUGGUUUUGUAAGUUGGAGGUGAAAUCCCCGGGCUCAACCUGGGAACUGCAUCCAAAACUGGCGAGCUAGAGUACGGUAGAGGGUGGUGGAAUUUCCUGUGUAGCGGUGAAAUGCGUAGAUAUAGGAAGGAACACCAGUGGCGAAGGCGACCACCUGGACUGAUACUGACACUGAGGUGCGAAAGCGUGGGGAGCAAACAGGAUUAGAUACCACGGUAGUCC